This 459-nucleotide ribosomal RNA is filed under the name uncultured bacterium. Its description in RNAcentral is "partial 16S ribosomal RNA". It matches the Rfam family "Bacterial small subunit ribosomal RNA", at positions 338 to 795 of the family's 1533-position model. The record is from RNAcentral.
CCUACGGGUGGCAGCAGUGAGGAAUAUUGGUCAAUGGUCGGGAGACUGAACCAGCCAAGCCGCGUGAGGGAGGAAGGUACAGAGUAUCGUAAACCUCUUUUGUCAGGGAACAAAGGCGGGGACGUGUCCCCGGAUGAGUGUACCUGAAGAAAAAGCAUCGGCUAACUCCGUGCCAGCAGCCGCGGUAAGACGGAGGAUGCGAGCGUUAUCCGGAUUUAUUGGGUUUAAAGGGUGCGCAGGCGGUCUGUUAAGUCAGCGGGCAAAGCCCGGGGCUCAACCCCGGCCCGCCGUUGAAACUGGCAGUCUCGAGUUGGAGAGAAGUAUGCGGAAUGCGCGGUGUAGCGGUGAAAUGCAUAGAUAUCGCGCAGAACUCCGAUUGCGAAGGCAGCAUGCCGGCUCCACACUGACGCUGAGGCACGAAAGCGUGGGUAUCGAACAGGAUUAGAUACCCUUGUAGUC